Molecule: transfer RNA, 72 nt
Filed under: Candidatus Aenigmatarchaeota archaeon
Lineage: Archaea; Nanobdellati; Candidatus Aenigmatarchaeota
Description: tRNA-Tyr
Rfam family: tRNA
About the family: Transfer RNA (tRNA) molecules are approximately 80 nucleotides in length.
Source: RNAcentral
CUCAGCGUAGCCUAACGGCAAAGGCGCUCGUCUGUAAAACGAGGGAUCCAGGUUCAAUUCCUGGCGCUGAGA